RNAcentral lists this non-coding RNA (24 nucleotides) under Arabidopsis thaliana (thale cress). Lineage: Eukaryota; Viridiplantae; Streptophyta; Magnoliopsida; Brassicales; Brassicaceae. The record is from RNAcentral.
AGGUGAUCAUCCGCGCUACGCCGC